Long non-coding RNA from Esox lucius (northern pike), 441 nucleotides. RefSeq lists it as uncharacterized. The record is from RefSeq and is a predicted model, not a curated record. The transcript is spliced from 4 exons. NCBI's taxonomy places the organism in Eukaryota, Metazoa, Chordata, Actinopteri, Esociformes, Esocidae.
CGCUGGCUCAGUACCUAUUGCUAACAAUAUUGUAAACAACGCUUAGCUAAAAUUAGCCGCAACUGACUUGCGAUUUAUAGAACGCUCGAAACCUUAUGAACAUCCUUCAGGCUUUUACAGCUCAACUCUGCAUGCAGAAUACAAAGGGGGCAAUUGACUGGUACUGACAGGGGUCUGGAGAGUAAGUUAUGAAAUAAGGUAGCCUUGCCUUAUUGUGCGUAAGCAACAAUGGCAGCUUGGGCACCUGUGACAUCCAUGGAGGCAGAAGUGACAUCCAUGGAGGCAGAACGAUCAUCAGGCCGGUCCUUAUCAGAGGGGAUGGACUGUGGUUCUUAACUCUUCUUGAGAAGCAGGUUGUCCACCAGCUGCAGACAUGUGCCCUGUAGCCUGGAGAGCUCCUCCUCGGAGGAAAGCAGACAGCGGCGGAGAACUGAGCUACCC